Molecule: long non-coding RNA, 4438 nt
Organism: Apis cerana (Asiatic honeybee)
Lineage: Eukaryota; Metazoa; Arthropoda; Insecta; Hymenoptera; Apidae
Source: RefSeq, a predicted model, not a curated record
CGCGGUGUCAGUCUUCUAUGAAAAGUCAUAGUGAUAAGACGUGUAUCGUAAUCGUGUCACCGGCUUUGGUGAUUCAACUACGCAACUCGUCCAAAAAGUACAUGGCUGGUCCAAAACAAUAAAUGGAAUCAUCCAACUUGACGAGCGGAAAAAGUUCCAGUAUAAACGCUAUCAUAAUUUGUCAAAGAGAAGUUUAUUCUAUUUCUAUAUUAUAUAUAUUUAUUUUACUUCUAUUGGAUCGUUUUUAUAAUGAACAUUUAUUACAAAUACUAAUACUUUUCUUUAAAUAGUGUAUUCAAUCUAAAAAUAGUUAUUCUAUUUCCUUGUAUAUAACAUUUUUUAUUCCUGAAAAAUUGAUAAUAAUUAGUCCAUAGUUUUAAUAAAUACUAAUAUUUUAUGACAUAAGUACAUUCUAUGAAAGGAAAGAAACUAUGGAAAAAAUAUUUUCAUUAGUAGGUUCUUUUUCUAAAGAUUCCCUUCGCCCCAACUAAUACAGAUUUAUUUUCAGAAUUUUUUUUUGAUCGCGCGCAAUGCGGUCUAUAGAUUCAGUGUUUGCUGCGUAAGAGUUUUUUGAUAUUUUAGAGCAUGAAAGCUCUGAUUAAAUUUAUAUAUUAUUAUAAAUUUAUACAUAUUAUAUUCGCGAAGUUAAAGUCAGUGUUUGUUCGCCGAUUGAAAAUUAUACGGACGGGUUAAUAAUUUCUUUCUUUUUUCUUUUUUUUUUUUUUUAUAUAUAUAUAUAUAUGUGUGUAUAAAUAUUCGUUUUCGGUAUAAAGUAGAGUCAGUGCUUUUCAAGAGAAUAAGGCGAUCAUCCAUCACGCGAAGAGUUUCCUAUGCUUGAUGACUCCUUUCUCGAUGACGUGCCCUGGGUCCUGGAUAGCAUUGCAGAUUCUUCGCAUCGUUUGGUGAGUCGCAUGCAUUUAUGUUCCUCCAAUCACUCAAUCAUGUCGUAGGAUGAAAGGUCCGAAUCGACACGGGUGAUUGGUUGUAUACGUAGAUUUUUGCACGAGCACAGUGACCGCGGGUAUUUAUUAUACCCGUGAGUAAUAACAUUUCUUUUUUUUUGAUGUUUUAUUUACUAGAUCAGGAUAGGGCUUCUUGCACAUCGCGUUUUUGAAAAGACAAUAUUGAUAGUUAAUUUUAUAUUAAUAAUGUUUUAAUAUAAUAUAAUAUAACAUAAAUAAUUAGUUUGGUUAUAUAUAUAAUUAUUUGUGAAAUCAAAUAUAAUAAAUAGGUAUAUACAUUUAUGAAUAUAUUUAUGAAUAAAAUGUGUGAAUAUUUUAAUAAAUGAGAAAUAUUGAAGUGACUUGAAUAAAGUCUCUUUUAGUGAAGAAAUCAGAUAUCCUCUGAUUUCGUUACAAUAAAAAUAUCAAAAUAAAUGUUACACAAUAGUAUAAUAAUAAUAUAAUAUUGAAUAUAACGAAUAACGUUUAAUUCUAUCUUUAGUUUCAUAAUAUUAUUUGAUUUUCUGUAAAGCGAAGCAUAAUUUGAAAUGUGAAAAUAUUUUAUUUUUUCCGUAAGAAAAAUGUAUGAAAAAUUAUGUGCAAGAAGAUAUUUCGCGACAGGUAGAUUUCUAGAUCAAAGUAACAAGUUUUUCACAUUGAUUUUGCUUUUUCGAAAAUGUACUUUGAUGAAGAGAUCGCCUGAGGUUUUUGUUAUGAAUAUUUCAUUUAGAGUCAAUUUCUUAUUAUUAAUUACAUAUAUAAAUUAUGAUAUAAAAAUUUAUUAUUAAUAAAUUUCAUAUUUGUUUUUUGUUCUUGAAAUUAAUAAGAUUAGAACUAAUUAGAUUUUUAAAGUAAAUUUAUGAAACUUGAUUAAAUUUUAAAAUACAAAUAAAUUUUCAAAGAAUUUUACAGAACAUUAGUCCGUUAGAACCACUAAUAUUCUUUUUAGCUCAGGAUUUUCAGGUUUAACCCCUUCCAUGUUCAUUGCCAGGAUCUCACUCACGUGCCCAGGUGCUACUUGGGUGAGAGAGAGGUGAUGGAUAUGAUGAUCAUAGUUGAUAAGUUGAUUAAUGACUUUUCAGCGACUGACGAUGCGUUAGUGUAUCGUGCACGACGUAUUUUCCACAUUAUGUGUGUGUGGUUAGGCUGUGGAAUUGCGUCGGUUCGUUUACAUAAUCGCAUACAGUAUUAACUUGAUAUGUUUAAAAUAUUUACAAUAUUAAUUACUAUUAUAAUUUCUAACAAUAAGUUAUACGAUAUUAUAAUUCUUACUUUGAAGUUACGACAUUAUAUCAAAUUUUAUAUUAUUCUAAUGAUUUAAUUAUUUUAAAAGACAUAUUGUUUUAUUGACAAUAAGAAUUUGUAAUUAAAAUUAAGAUAUACGCAUAACGCAAUGAUCGCUAGCCAUCGUCAGUCGAUUUCAGGAAAAUGGUACGUACAGUUAGAGUGUGCGAGUAGUGUGCCAAGCUCGGGUGUCGGAGGCGUCCCGGGACGCUUUCCCUAGUGUAGGCUUUUGCGCCCGAGUAUUAUGUGUGAGAAUCGUGGAAUGAAUGUGUUGGUAUGCCUGUUUUGUCAUUUUUUAAAUAUAGGGCUAGGUAGGAUAGGUAGUAUACUUCUGUGUGUUUGUUAAUUAUAAGUAGGUAGGGCCGGGCAGGUUGUCACAGUCUCUGUCGGGUAGGCGCGUUUUCGCGUGACAACUUGUUUCAGGAAAUAAAAUUUGAAAAAUCGAGGGUAAAGCUGAGACGAAUGUACUACUAUUCGUAGUACUAUUCGUCUCUGGUUUCGCUUUUCGAUUUUUCGAAUUUCGCGGUCGCGGUCGCGAUUUGCUUUCGAAACGAACGUUGCGCUCGAGAUUCUGUGCAUGUACGGAGAAGGAUCAUUGCGAUCGUUGGUCGUCCAUGUACUUAGUUUCCGCGAUUUAGUCCUUUUUUUUUCCUUUUUUGAUUUGCGAUCAGUGAAUCUCGAGCCUAGAUUUAAGUUUCAGCGGGCAUUGCGCCCGAAGGAGGAAGACCGAAGAGGCCCGACAAACUGUCACGAAGAGGGCUGCAACGAAUGGUUUCUCAUUUUUUGGAUCUUGUCUGGGUCCAAAGAAUGGGAAAUCAUUGUUAUUACUUUGUCACUGUGCUCGUUUAGUAAUACGUAGUAUUUGAUGUUGUAUCGUCUGGCCGAUUAUGCAUGCCGGCCCAUCAUCCAGAUCCAGUCAUCAUGGGCAUCGCGUUUUUUUAUUAGUGUUGCGUUAAAAUGAGAAUCGCGUUUGCAUUAGUGUUGCGUUAAAAUGAGAGCCGCGUUUGCAUUAGUGUUGCGUUAAAAUGAGAAUCGCGUUUGCAUUAGUGUUGCGUUAAAAUGAGAGCCGCGUUUGCAUUAGUGUUGCGUUAAAAUGAGAGCCGCGUUUGCAUUAGUGUUGCGUUAAAAUGAGAGCCGCGUUUGCAUUAGUGUUGCGAAUUAUAAGAUAUGUUUUUUUUUGUUAUAAACUGUUAUAUAAUUUUAAAAUUUGUAUCAUUUGUCAUUAAUUUUUUUACUUUUAAUUAAUAAUAACUUUCCAAUCAUAAUAUUAAAUGAUUUUUUUUUUAUUUUUUUAUAUUUGAUUUUAAAUAAUAGCGUUAAAUUUAUAAAUAAUCGCGUUCUUUUAAGUAGUGUUGCGAAUAAUAAUAAAUGCCCAAAUGUCUUCUAUGGAGAGUGUGAAAGUAUUCGCACUCCUGUUCCUGAAUCACUUUAAGCGGCUAAAAAAGCUGCAAAGGUGAUUGUACAAUAGCAGUCAUACAAGGAGACUGCAUUGGAUUCUCUCCAGUAUCAUUAGUGUUGCGUUAUUUAAAUUUGAGUGCGUAGAGUAGAGUUGCGAAAAUAAUUGAUACGAUUUUUACGGGAAAUUUUCAGUUUUUUUUUUUUUUUUUUUUUUUGACAGUUGUAAAUUAAUUAAUAUUGCAAAUAUUGUAAUGCACUCAUCGUGGUUCAUUUAAAAGAUUUUUUAUUUUGCAAUAAAUAUUAGUUUAUUAGUGUCGCGAUACGAAAUGAAUAUUCCACUCGCGGUUUAUUGCUCGGGUUUUAUAUCGAGUGGAAGAAUAUUUUUAUUUUAGUAACCCAUCUGGUUACUUAAUUAUUUUUUCUUUUUCAGCACCCCUUAUCAUUUUGCAUUUGUUGUAAGAGAUAUUACUAUAAUAUGUAUAUUUGUUUUUUCUAAGUUUUUUUUUAAAUAAUAAAUUUAAAUGCCUUUGAUAAUAAACUUUUUGUAAUAAAUAUUAAUAAAUGUUCAUUAUAUUAGAUUUAUUUUUUUUUUGAAAAUAUUCUUUUCGUUUGUAUUUUUUUUAUUAUUAUACUAAUCAAUAAAUUUGUUUCAGAUUUAUUAACUCGCGGAAACACCAUUUAUGUAUUUGAAAUGAAUAUGAUAUUGAAAUGUGUUAUCAGUAAAUAGUAAGUAUUCAUAUCUUAUGGAACUAAUUAUUUGUAAUUUGAUUUAUUUUAGCGAUCAAUGUGGAAUAAAUACGAAUUCGAUAAAAAAA